GGCGUCACGCGAGGCGUGCGUGCGUGUUUGUGACUGAACUAUGUGUUUUUAAGGAAGCCGUGGUGUUAGCGCCUGCGCAAUCUCAUUCGUGCGGUAGUACAUUUGGAUAGUUUUUAUCUGUGGCUGCUGUUGUAACUUCAAAACAACGCAAGGCAACUCUUUUACCCCUGUCCUUCGCGGCUUUGUGGAUCUAUCAGCAUGCAUCGAUGUGCAGCGUUUUCCCCGGCGCCGAUUUACCAUUUCGAGGUUUUUUUAACCACUUCCUCAAAAGGACGUCCUUUGGUUGAAGUCAACGAAAAGCUCUCAAUCAAGAUUGCAGGUGGCUACAUCGAAUGACACUUUGUAGACUGCAUCAAAUAAACAUUUGAUGAUGA
Dermacentor silvarum is the source of this 374-nucleotide long non-coding RNA. RefSeq lists it as uncharacterized. The transcript is spliced from 2 exons. The record is from RefSeq and is a predicted model, not a curated record. Lineage: Eukaryota; Metazoa; Arthropoda; Arachnida; Ixodida; Ixodidae.